UACGGGGGGGGCAAGCGUUGUUCGGAAUUACUGGGCGUAAAGGGCUCGUAGGUGGCCAACUAAGUCAGACGUGAAAUCCCCGGGCUUAACCUGGGAAUGGCAUUUGGGACUGCAAGGCUGGAGUGUGGCAGAGGAGACUGGAAUUCCCGGUGUAGCAGUGAAAUGCGUAGAUAUCGGGAGGAAUACCGAUGGCGAAGGCAGGUCUCUGGGCUGACACUGACGCUCAUGCACGAAAGCGUGGGGAGCAAACAGG
This 253-nucleotide ribosomal RNA is filed under the name uncultured bacterium. Its description in RNAcentral is "partial 16S ribosomal RNA". It matches the Rfam family "Bacterial small subunit ribosomal RNA", at positions 524 to 776 of the family's 1533-position model. The record is from RNAcentral.